GGCGUGCUCUAUAGGCAAAUCCGUAGAGCUGAGCUGAGGCGUGAUGACGAGGUGCCACGUGCACUGAAGUGAUUGAUCCCAUGCUUCCAGGAAAAGCCUCUAAGCUUCAGUUCCAAAUUGACCGUACUGCAAACCGACACAGGUGGGUAGGGUGAGAAUCCUAAGGCGCUUGAGAGAACUCAGGAGAAGGAACUCGGCAAAUUGACACCGUAACUUCGGGAGAAGGUGUGCCCUUGUAGGGUGAAGUCCCUUGCGGAUGGAGCUCGAAAGGGUUGCAGUGAAAAGGUGGCUGCGACUGUUUAUUAAAAACACAGCACUCUGCAAACACGAAAGUGGACGUAUAGGGUGUGACGCCUGCCCGGUGCUGGAAGAUUAAAUGAUGGGGUGCAAGCUCUUGACUGAAGUCCCAGUAAACGGCGGCCGUAACAAUAACGGUCCUAAGGUAGCGAAAUUCCUUGUCGGGUAAGUUCCGACCGCACGAAUGGCGUAACGACGGCCACACUGUCUCCUCCUGAGACUC
Molecule: ribosomal RNA, 520 nt
Filed under: uncultured bacterium
Lineage: Bacteria
Description: bacterial LSU rRNA
Rfam family: Bacterial large subunit ribosomal RNA
Source: RNAcentral